This 758-nucleotide ribosomal RNA is filed under the name uncultured bacterium. RNAcentral describes it as "bacterial SSU rRNA". It matches the Rfam family "Bacterial small subunit ribosomal RNA", at positions 28 to 776 of the family's 1533-position model. The record is from RNAcentral.
GAUGAACGCUAGCUACAGGCUUAACACAUGCAAGUCGAGGGGCAUCAGGAAGAAAGCUUGCUUUCUUUGCUGGCGACCGGCGCACGGGUGAGUAACACGUAUCCAACCUGCCCUUUACUCGGGGAUAGCCUUUCGAAAGAAAGAUUAAUACCCGAUGGCAUAAUGAUUCCGCAUGGUUUCAUUAUUAAAGGAUUCCGGUAAAGGAUGGGGAUGCGUUCCAUUAGGUUGUUGGUGGGGUAACGGCCCACCAAGCCUUCGAUGGAUAGGGGUUCUGAGAGGAAGGUCCCCCACAUUGGAACUGAGACACGGUCCAAACUCCUACGGGAGGCAGCAGUGAGGAAUAUUGGUCAAUGGGCGCUAGCCUGAACCAGCCAAGUAGCGUGAAGGAUGAAGGCUCUAUGGGUCGUAAACUUCUUUUAUAUAAGAAUAAAGUGCAGUAUGUAUACUGUUUUGUAUGUAUUAUAUGAAUAAGGAUCGGCUAACUCCGUGCCAGCAGCCGCGGUAAUACGGAGGAUCCGAGCGUUAUCCGGAUUUAUUGGGUUUAAAGGGAGCGUAGGUGGACUGGUAAGUCAGUUGUGAAAGUUUGCGGCUCAACCGUAAAAUUGCAGUUGAUACUGUCAGUCUUGAGUACAGUAGAGGUGGGCGGAAUUCGUGGUGUAGCGGUGAAAUGCUUAGAUAUCACGAAGAACUCCGAUUGCGAAGGCAGCUCACUGGACUGCAACUGACACUGAUGCUCGAAAGUGUGGGUAUCAAACAGG